RNAcentral lists this ribosomal RNA (497 nucleotides) under uncultured bacterium. RNAcentral describes it as "partial 16S ribosomal RNA". It matches the Rfam family "Bacterial small subunit ribosomal RNA", at positions 28 to 507 of the family's 1533-position model. The record is from RNAcentral.
GAUGAACGCUGGCGGCGUGCCUAAUACAUGCAAGUCGAACGGACGGACGCUGAGCUUGCGUUUCUGAUGUUAGCGGCGGAGGGGAGUGACACACGUGUAUAACCUACCUAUAAGACGGGGAUAACUUCGGGAAACCGGAGCUAACACCGGAGGAUAUUUUGAACCGCGGGGUUGAAAAGUGAAAGACGGUCGUGCUGGCACGUAUAGAGGGAUCCGCGCUGCAUUAGCGAGUUGGUAAGGUAACGGCUUACCAAGGCAACGAUGCAUAGCCGACCUGGGAGGGUGAUCGGCCACACUGGAACUGAGACACGGUCCAGACUCCUACGGGAGGCAGCAGUAGGGAAUCUUCCGCAAUGGGCGAAAGCCUGACGGAGCAACGCCGCGUGGGUGAUGAAGGUCUUCGGAUCGUAAAACUCUGUUAUUAGGGAAGAACAUAUGUGUAAGUAACUGUGCACAUCUUGACGGUACCUAAUCAGAAAGCCACGGCUAACUACGUG